CAUGUAGGCGGAGCAGUGUGUGUCUUGUGAAAGCCCUCGGCUCAACCGAGGAAUUGCUUGGCAAACUGCUGCUCUUGAGGCAGGUAGAGGCGACUGGAACCUUUGGUGGAGAGGUGAAAUUCGUAGAUAUCAAAGGGAACGCCGGUGGCGAAAGCGGGUCGCUGGGCCUGUCCUGACGCUGAGAUGCGAAAGCGUAGGGAGCGAACG
This 207-nucleotide ribosomal RNA is filed under the name uncultured bacterium. RNAcentral's name for it is "partial 16S ribosomal RNA". It matches the Rfam family "Bacterial small subunit ribosomal RNA", at positions 568 to 774 of the family's 1533-position model. The record is from RNAcentral.